Molecule: ribosomal RNA, 274 nt
Filed under: uncultured bacterium
Lineage: Bacteria
Description: partial 16S ribosomal RNA
Rfam family: Bacterial small subunit ribosomal RNA
Source: RNAcentral
UACGAAGGGGGCUAGCGUUGCUCGGAAUCACUGGGCGUAAAGCGCACGUAGGUGGAUUCUUAAGUCAGGGGUGAAAUCCUGGAGCUCAACUCCAGAACUGCCUUUGAUACUGGGAAUCUUCGAGUCCGGGAGAGGUGGGUGGAACUGCGAGUGUAGAGGUGAAAUUCGUAGAUAUUCGCAAGAACACCAGUGGCGAAGGCGGCUCACUGGCCCGGUACUGACACUGAGGUGCGAAAGCGUGGGGAGCAAACAGGAUUAGAAACCCCCGUAGUCC